GUCCUCGGUGGCUCAGAUGGAUAGAGCGUCUGCCGUGUAAGCAGAAGAUCCCGGGUUCGAGUCCCGGUCGGGACA
RNAcentral lists this transfer RNA (75 nucleotides) under Schistocerca americana (American grasshopper). RNAcentral describes it as "tRNA-Thr". It matches the Rfam family "tRNA". Rfam says of the family: Transfer RNA (tRNA) molecules are approximately 80 nucleotides in length. Their secondary structure includes four short double-helical elements and three loops (D, anti-codon, and T loops). RNAcentral also lists the same sequence under 2 other names. The record is from RNAcentral. Lineage: Eukaryota; Metazoa; Arthropoda; Insecta; Orthoptera; Acrididae.